Helianthus annuus (common sunflower) is the source of this 237-nucleotide long non-coding RNA. RefSeq lists it as uncharacterized. Lineage: Eukaryota; Viridiplantae; Streptophyta; Magnoliopsida; Asterales; Asteraceae. The transcript has 2 exons. The record is from RefSeq and is a predicted model, not a curated record.
UUUAACUUUGUGUUCCCUAACAGUUGAAAUCGUAGUUGCAAGAUUUGUGUUUGAGGAGGAAGAUUUUGUGAGGGCUUUGGAAGUUAAAAUUGAUAACAUCUCGAGGGAUUGGAAAGGAGCAACGGUUGAGGAAGACGCAACAGAGUUGGAAGAAGAAAGAAACAUUCUAUAACGGAGAAAAUGAAGAAAAUAUAAAUGCAAGAUUAUACGCUGAAACUUUAUGAUGCAACGGAGUUG